This 460-nucleotide ribosomal RNA is filed under the name uncultured bacterium. Its description in RNAcentral is "partial 16S ribosomal RNA". It matches the Rfam family "Bacterial small subunit ribosomal RNA", at positions 338 to 795 of the family's 1533-position model. The record is from RNAcentral.
CCUACGGGAGGCAGCAGUGAGGAAUAUUGGUCAAUGGACGAGAGUCUGAACCAGCCAAGUAGCGUGAAGGAUGACUGCCCUCUGGGUUGUAAACUUCUUUUAUAUGGGAAUAAAAUGUUCCACGUGUGGGAUUUUGUAUGUACCAUAUGAAUAAGGAUCGGCUAACUCCGUGCCAGCAGCCGCGGUAAUAAGGAGGAUCCGAGCGUUAUCCGGAUUUAUUGGGUUUAAAGGGAGCGUAGGUGGGUUGUUAAGUCAGGUGUGAAAGUUUGCGGCUCAACCGUAGAAUUGCAUUUGAAACUGGCAGUCUUGAGUACGGUAGAGGUAAGCGGAAUUCGAGGUGUAGCGGUGAAAUGCUUAGAUAUCACGAAGAACUCCGAUUGCGAAGGCAGUUCACUGGACCGCAACUGACGCUGAGGCUCGAAAGCGUGGGUAUCAAACAGGAUUAGAUACCCUUGUAGUC